UGGAGCAAACAGGAUUAGAUACCCCGGUAGUCCACGCCCUAAACGAUGAACACUAGUCGUCGCUCUGCUAGUCAGGGCGGUGAUGCACUUAACAGAUUAAGUGUUCCGCCUGGGGAGUACGGUCGCAAGAUUAAAACUCAAAGGAAUAGACGGGGACCCGCACAAGUGGUGGAGCAUGUGGUUUAAUUCGAAGAUACGCGAAGAACCUUACCUAGCCUUGACAUUGAUAGAACACCCUAGAGAUAGAGUGGUGCCCUUCGGGGAACUUGAAAACAGGUGCUGCACGGCUGUCGUCAGCUCGUGUCGUGAGAUGUUGGGUUAAGUCCCGCAACGAGCGCAACCCUCGUCCUUAGUUGCCAGCAGGUUAUGCUGGGCACUCUAAGGAGACUGCCUUCGCAAGGAGGAGGAAGGUGAGGACGACGUCAAGUCAUCAUGGCCCUUAUGGCUAGGGCUACACACGUGCUACAAUGGGGCGUACAGAGUGUUGCGAUACCGCGAGGUGGAGCCAAUCACUUAAAGCGUCUCUCAGUUCGGAUUGAAGUCUGCAACUCGACUUCAUGAAGCUGGAAUCACUAGUAAUCGUAGAUCAGCAAUGCUACGGUGAAUACGUUCCCGGGUCUUGUACACACCGCCCGUCACA
Molecule: ribosomal RNA, 640 nt
Filed under: uncultured marine bacterium
Lineage: Bacteria
Description: bacterial SSU rRNA
Rfam family: Bacterial small subunit ribosomal RNA
Source: RNAcentral